CAGCCGCAGUGAUCCCUGUCUAUUUCCCUCUCUUUCCUUGGAAGAGGUGGAGGCUGUUUGGUUGGAGAUGUGGGUCGGAAGUACCGUAGUUUAUGUAUGCUAAUAGGGAGAGUUGGGGGUUGUAGCUAGAUAUUUACGUUCAGUGGGAGCCGCCCUUCAUUCACCCACAUGGUUACCAACUGGUCGCCUUCGCGCCACUUUCCUAACCCUGCAAUCAUUUUUAACCAGCUUAUCUGGCCUAUAUAUUCACUCCCAAUCGGUUCGGAUUUCACUUUAUGUUUUGGUUUUGUCCUCCGGUAGAAAAGUUUUCGGAUUAGUUACGUAUUUAUUUCUCUCUUUUGUCGGCAAGAGACUACACGGCAGCCCAAGCAAGUGAGCGAAGAUGGUGGAUUUCGGCUGACCCACUGUGAAGUGCAGGACCCCAGCCACAACUGCAACAGUGUGACCAUCUUCCCAUGGUGCUGGAGGGCAGCAAUGCAGUAAUCAGUCUGUGUAUUGUCAAAGUGCUUACAGUGCAGGUAGUACUAUGUAAUACCUACUGCAGUGGAGGCACUUACAGCAAUACCCUGACACUGAUAUGCUGAUUCUUUCAUGUUACAUGCCAUUUGAAGUACUGUCUUUGUGCUAAGGUGCAUCUAGUGCAGAUAGUGAAAUAGACUAGCACCUACUGCCCUAAGUGCUCCUUCUGGCAUAAGGGGCUGUGAUAUGCGCCACCAGACCAUUUUUAAUUUCUAAUUGGGCUCAAAUAUCUUGCAGUUCUCUGCUAGUUUUGCAUAGUUGCACUACAAGAAUAGAUGAGUUGUGCAAAUCUAUGCAAAACUGAUGGUGGCCUGCUUGCUCUCCACCUGUUUAGAUUUUUUUGGUUUUGGGGGUGUCACAUCAAACACAACCUGAUUGCAUACUACACAUGUAAUGCUGUUUUUUGUUUUUUAAUAAACCAGGAGUUUUGCCGGUUCUCAUCCAGUGACAGUUUCAGCAGUACUAAAGUGCUUAUAGUGCAGGUAGUGUUUUCUCUUAUCUACUGCAAUAUGAGCACUUGAAGUACUUCUAACUAACUGCAUCUUUCUGAAGCUCAGAUGUGUUUUUUUAAAAAAACAAACAAAAAAAACGUCCAAGACUCCUUUGUUAAUCAUCACAUGGUCAGUUUUGCUGGUUUGCAUUCAGCUUUAACUGUUGUUUGCUGUGCAAAUCCAUGCAAAACUGACUAGGUUGAUGAACUGCUUUCUGCUAAGUGGAAUUUCUUUGCAUCAAGAUAUGUAUAUAUUUUUUUUCACUGAGUGGUGAGUAUUUGCAUAUACUGGAUAUUUGGAGCUGUCCCUUCCUGUGCAGGUGGGGAUUAGUAGCAAUGCUGUGUACAUGGAGGUAUUGCACUUGUCCCGGCCUGUGUAGGAACGAGGAGAUGAAGGCUCACUGUAUCUUGAACCAAGGCUUUUGGAUACUCACAGCUACUUGUCCUAUUUUGGCCUGUUUGAGCUUUUUGAAAUGCAUAUGCUAAUGAGGAUGAGUUCAAAGUGAUUAAUUGUAAUGUUGUUUGAAAUAUAUUAAAGUUUAUAUGUGUUCUU
Molecule: long non-coding RNA, 1562 nt
Organism: Scatophagus argus
Lineage: Eukaryota; Metazoa; Chordata; Actinopteri; Scatophagidae
Exons: 2
Source: RefSeq, a predicted model, not a curated record